Molecule: ribosomal RNA, 789 nt
Filed under: uncultured bacterium
Lineage: Bacteria
Description: bacterial SSU rRNA
Rfam family: Bacterial small subunit ribosomal RNA
Source: RNAcentral
AGAGUUUGAUCAUGGCUCAGGACGAACGCUGGCGGCGUGCUUAAUACAUGCAAGUCAACUGAACUUUUGGUAGUAAUAUCAAAAGGGAGGUGGCGCACGGGUGAGUAACACGUAGGUAAUCUGCCUUUAGGUCUGACAUAAUUCCGCGAAAGCGGGACUAAUUUCAGAUGAUGCAGCGGCUCGACAUCGAGACAGUUGUUAAAUCUUCGGAGCCUAAAGAUGAGCCUGCGUCUGAUUAGAUAGUUGGCGGAGUAAAAGCCCACCAAGUCUGCGAUCAGUAGCUGGUCUGAGAGGAUGAUCAGCCACACUGGAACUGAGACACGGUCCAGACUCCUACGGGAGGCAGCAGUAAGGAAUAUUGCUCAAUGGCCGAAAGGCUGAAGCAGCAACGCCGCGUGGAGGAUGAAAUACUUUUGUAUGUAAACUCCUGUAAGAGGGGAAAAAUAUCUCAUUUUAUGAGAUUGAUUGUACCCUCAGAGUAAGCACCGGCUAACUACGUGCCAGCAGCCGCGGUAAUACGUAGGGUGCUAGAGUUGUCCGGAUUUACUGGGUGUAAAGGGUGCUCAGGUGGGUUUGUAAGUCAGAGGUGAAAUCCCAAAGCUUAACUUUGGUGCUGCCUUUGAUACUGCAAGUCUUGAGUUUGAGAGAGGGUAAUGGAAUAUCUGGUGUAGCAGUGAAAUGCGUAGAUAUCAGAUAGAACACCAAUGGCGAAGGCAGUUACCUGGCUCAAAACUGACGCUAAAGCACGAAAGUGUGGGGAGCAAACAGGAUUAGAUACCCUAGUAGUCC